GGGGCCUUAGCUCAGCUGGGAGAGCACCUGCUUUGCAAGCAGGGGGUCAUCAGUUCGAAUCUGAUAGGCUCCACCA
This 76-nucleotide transfer RNA is filed under the name Truepera radiovictrix. RNAcentral's name for it is "tRNA-Ala". It matches the Rfam family "tRNA". Rfam says of the family: Transfer RNA (tRNA) molecules are approximately 80 nucleotides in length. Their secondary structure includes four short double-helical elements and three loops (D, anti-codon, and T loops). RNAcentral also lists the same sequence under 2 other names. The record is from RNAcentral. Lineage: Bacteria; Thermotogati; Deinococcota; Deinococci; Trueperales; Trueperaceae.